This 212-nucleotide ribosomal RNA is filed under the name uncultured bacterium. RNAcentral's name for it is "partial 16S ribosomal RNA". It matches the Rfam family "Bacterial small subunit ribosomal RNA", at positions 524 to 734 of the family's 1533-position model. The record is from RNAcentral.
UACGUAGGGGGCAAGCGUUGUCCGGAUUUAUUGGGCGUAAAGCGCGCGUAGGCGGUCAGGUAAGUCCGGUGUGAAAGUCAAAGGCUCAACCUUUGAAUGCCGCUGGAUACUGCCUGACUUGAGUCCGGAAGGGGCGAGUGGAAUUCCUGGUGUAGCGGUGAAAUGCGCAGAUAUCAGGAGGAACAGCCAAUGGCGAAGGCAGCUCGCUGGAA